UUUCAAUAAGUUUUGUAAAAAAUCUUAAUUCAUUUUUCUUUAUAGGUCAUCUUCCUCCUGGGUCUGGUGGCGGUGGUUGCCGCAGACAAGCUUCCUACCUCCUAUGGUCCACCUCCCCAGGUAUCCAGGUACGCCUCAUCUGAGGAGGAGUCUGAUCCCCCAAAGUAUGUCUACAACUGGAACGUGCAGGACAGCUACUCUGGCAAUGACUUCGCCCACCAGGAGGACCGUGAAGACGACAACACCAAGGGGUCGUACACCGUGCAGCUUCCCGACGGUCGUCUGCAGACUGUUACAUACUACGUGGACGGUGACUCAGGCUACGUGGCCGAGGUCAGCUACCAGGGUGAGGCUCAGUACCCCGAGUCUGAAGAGUCCAGGGAGUACGCCCCACCCAGGCCCCGGUACUCCGCCCCCCAGUCUGAGGAAUCUGUGGAGGCUCCCGUGUACUCUCCACCCAGGCGAUCAUACGGUGCCCCUCAGUAACUCGUUCACGAAAGAGGACAUACGACUAUACAUGUUUUAACACCAUUGUUUCCUAAGACUAUUUUCAGUCAUGAAAUUUUUGUAAAUUAUUCCAAAUUAUGUUUAUCUCCAACUUCAAAUAUCUUUAAGAAUUUCUCAGAAUUUAUCUCUUACUUUCUUCAGAUGGAGAUAAUAUUCUCUUCUUUCUUUAAUCUGUAUUGCACUUUCUCGAGUGAAAUUUCUCUACUAUUAUAUGUACCAUUAUCUUACUGUGAAUAUUUAUUAAACUGAAUAAAUUAUGAAGAAUGAA
Molecule: long non-coding RNA, 775 nt
Filed under: Homarus americanus (American lobster)
Lineage: Eukaryota; Metazoa; Arthropoda; Malacostraca; Decapoda; Nephropidae
Description: uncharacterized LOC121858734
Source: RNAcentral